UGGGGAAUAUUGGACAAUGGGGGGAACCCUGAUCCAGCCAUGCCGCGUGUGUGAAGAAGGCCUUAUGGUUGUAAAGCACUUUAAGCGAGGAGGAGGGUACUGGUAUUAAUACUACCAGGUACUGGACGUUACUCGCAGAAUAAGCACCGGCUAACUCUGUGCCAGCAGCCGCGGUAAUACAGAGGGUGCAAGCGUUAAUCGGAUUUACUGGGCGUAAAGCGUGCGUAGGCGGCUAAUUGAGUCGGAUGUGAAAUCCCCGAGCUUAACUUGGGAAUUGCAUUCGAUACUGGUUAGCUAGAGUGUGGGAGAGGAUGGUAGAAUUCCAGGUGUAGCGGUGAAAUGCGUAGAGAUCUGGAGGAAUACCGAUGGCGAAGGCAGCCAUCUGGCCUAACACUGACGCUGAGGUACGAAAGCAUGGGGAGCAAACAGG
This 430-nucleotide ribosomal RNA is filed under the name Pseudomonadota bacterium. RNAcentral describes it as "Proteobacteria bacterium partial 16S ribosomal RNA". It matches the Rfam family "Bacterial small subunit ribosomal RNA", at positions 355 to 776 of the family's 1533-position model. Lineage: Bacteria; Pseudomonadati; Pseudomonadota. The record is from RNAcentral.